This 449-nucleotide ribosomal RNA is filed under the name uncultured bacterium. RNAcentral's name for it is "bacterial SSU rRNA". It matches the Rfam family "Bacterial small subunit ribosomal RNA", at positions 933 to 1382 of the family's 1533-position model. The record is from RNAcentral.
UGGAGCAUGUGGUUUAAUUCGACGCAACGCGAAGAACCUUUACCAGGGCUUGACAUCCCUUGAAGCAGCUAGAGAUAGCUGUGUCCUUCGGGACAAGGAGACAGGUGGUGCAUGGUUGUCGUCAGCUCGUGUCGUGAGAUGUUGGGUUAAGUCCCGCAACGAGCGCAACCCCUGUGGUUAGUUGCCAGCAAGUAGCGUUGGGCACUCUAGCCAGACUGCCGGUGAUAAAUCGGAGGAAGGUGGGGACGACGUCAAAUCAUCAUGCCCUUUAUGUCCUGGGCUACACACGUACUACAAUGGCCGUUACAACGGGAAGCGAAGGAGCAAUCCGGAGCAAAUCCCUUAAAGGCGGUCCCAGUUCAGAUUGUGGGCUGAAACUCGCCCACAUGAAGGCGGAAUUGCUAGUAAUUGCAGAUCAGCAUGCUGCAGUGAAUACGUUCCCGGGCCUU